Molecule: ribosomal RNA, 253 nt
Filed under: uncultured bacterium
Lineage: Bacteria
Description: partial 16S ribosomal RNA
Rfam family: Bacterial small subunit ribosomal RNA
Source: RNAcentral
UACGGAGGGUGCAAGCGUUAUCCGGAUUCACUGGGUUUAAAGGGUGCGUAGGCGGGUAAGUAAGUCCGUGGUGAAAUCUCUGAGCUUAACUCAGAAACUGCCGUGGAUACUAUUUGCCUUGAAUAUUGUGGAGGUGAGCGGAAUAUGUCAUGUAGCGGUGAAAUGCUUAGAUAUGACAUAGAACACCAAUUGCGAAGGCAGCUCACUACACCAUCAUUGACGCUGAGGCACGAAAGCGUGGGGAUCAAACAGG